This 253-nucleotide ribosomal RNA is filed under the name uncultured bacterium. RNAcentral describes it as "partial 16S ribosomal RNA". It matches the Rfam family "Bacterial small subunit ribosomal RNA", at positions 524 to 776 of the family's 1533-position model. The record is from RNAcentral.
UACGGGGGGUGCAAGCGUUGUUCGGAAUUACUGGGCGUAAAGGGCUCGUAGGUGGCCAACUAAGUCAGACGUGAAAUCCCUCGGCUUAACCGGGGAACUGCGUCUGAUACUGGAUGGCUUGAGUUUGGGAGAGGGAUGCGGAAUUCCAGGUGUAGCGGUGAAAUGCGUAGAUAUCUGGAGGAACACCGGUGGCGAAGGCGGCAUCCUGGGCCAACACUGACACUGAGGAGCGAAAGCCAGGGGAGCAAACGGG